Molecule: ribosomal RNA, 503 nt
Filed under: Fidelibacterota bacterium
Lineage: Bacteria; Pseudomonadati; Fidelibacterota
Description: partial 23S ribosomal RNA
Rfam family: Bacterial large subunit ribosomal RNA
Source: RNAcentral
AACGCUAAUCGACGCAGGGUUAGUCGGACCUAAGACGAGACCGAAAGGUGUAGUCGAUGGACAACAGGUUAAUAUUCCUGUACCGCGUAUACUGCGAUGGGGGGACGGAGAAGGCUAAGCUUACCGGGUGUUGGUUAUCCCGGGGAAAGUAUGUAGGUAGAGAACUUUGGAAAAUCCGGGUUCUUAUUACUGAGAUACGAGACCAUUGAUUUUUUAAUCAAGAAGUAGCUGAUGCCAUGCUUCCAAGAAAAGCCUCUAAGCUUCAGGUAUUACGUGACCGUACCCCAAACCGACACAGGUGGGUGGGAUGAGAAUUCUAAGGCGCUUGAGAAAACUCUGGUGAAGGAACUAGGCAAAUUGGUACCGUAACUUCGGAAGAAGGUACGCCUCUGUUGGUGAUUGAACUUGCUUCAUAAGCUGAUGGAGGUCUCAGAAACCAGGUGGCUGCGACUGUUUAAUAAAAACACAGCACUCUGCUAACUCGUAAGAGGAUGUAUAGGGUG